AUGGAAAUAGAUACUAUCAAUAAAUAUUUGUAUUAUCUCCAAAAUAAUACCAGUGAUAUCUCGGAUAUUAAUCACUUAAAAACACUAAAAUUUUUAGUAAAUUCUGGUGUUGAUAUUAUGAAUUAUGCCAGGUUAAUUUUAAAAAAAUCAUGUUAUUUAGGUCAUUUGACUGUUUUGAAAUAUUUGAAAAACAGAACAUGUUGA
This 204-nucleotide small RNA is filed under the name Acanthamoeba polyphaga mimivirus. RNAcentral describes it as "uncharacterized ncRNA". Lineage: Varidnaviria; Bamfordvirae; Nucleocytoviricota; Megaviricetes; Imitervirales; Mimiviridae. The record is from RNAcentral.